RNAcentral lists this small nuclear RNA (18 nucleotides) under Arabidopsis thaliana (thale cress). Its description in RNAcentral is "snRNA_09922". Lineage: Eukaryota; Viridiplantae; Streptophyta; Magnoliopsida; Brassicales; Brassicaceae. The record is from RNAcentral.
UUUUUUUUUUGUAAAAUA